This 87-nucleotide transfer RNA is filed under the name Candidatus Staskawiczbacteria bacterium. RNAcentral describes it as "tRNA-Ser". It matches the Rfam family "tRNA". Rfam says of the family: Transfer RNA (tRNA) molecules are approximately 80 nucleotides in length. Their secondary structure includes four short double-helical elements and three loops (D, anti-codon, and T loops). The record is from RNAcentral. Lineage: Bacteria; Candidatus Staskawicziibacteriota.
GGAGGAGUCACAUAGCGGCCAUUGUAGCGGCUUGGAAAGCCGCGACCCGAAAGGGUCUCGUGGGUUCGAGUCCCACCUCCUCCGCCA